RNAcentral lists this long non-coding RNA (939 nucleotides) under Suricata suricatta (meerkat). RNAcentral describes it as "lncRNA (ENSSSUG00005008089.1)". Lineage: Eukaryota; Metazoa; Chordata; Mammalia; Carnivora; Herpestidae. The record is from RNAcentral.
GGUAGAGGCUCAGCUCAGUCAGCCGGGGGACCCCACCCUUGCCACAGAAUGGUCUAGAUAACCAGGAGGCAUAGGGAACCCAGGCCUUGAAGGGGAAGGUUUCUGCUUACCUCUCCCCCACUCCCCUGCCCAACGCUCCUGUGUCCACAACUGCACACCACAGCAAGGCUGGCCUUGCCCAGCAUGCUCCCCCAGCUGGGCUGACACUGGCCCCCCUUUCUCUUGCCUACAGGAAGGUGGACCGGCUAGGAGCUGCUUUCCACUUCCCCAGCCCCUGCCCUCAUGGGGGGUGUGGUCAGGGGUCAGCCGGGCAGCCAAGUGAACAAUCAGUAGCCAGUGCGCUUCCCUUAGGAAGUGGAAUGUCCCUCACAGAUCCAGGUUGUGGAACCCCAAGCACCAUUAUGCUGACAGUCCCAGGUGGGAAAACGUGUGCCUUCCCAGGCACAGAGAACUCCAGACACGACGAGAGUGGGGGAAAGCGAAGUGUCCGUCCACAGGGUCCAGUGACACCCCCGGUGGCAUGUCAGACUCAGCACAUCACCGGACUGUUUAGAAGCACGUGGCAGCUCUGUGUGAACAAAUGCUAACCCGGCCCCACAGCGUGUUCCUGAGUGAAAACCAAAACUGCGGUGGCACGGACACUGGCCGUAUGGAUUCCGGCGCAGCACCCCAAAGGGAUAAUGAGGGACACUGGUGGCCUCUGGGGUGGGGAGGGCAGGAGCCCUGCUGUAAACUGUGUCCUUGAGUGCAGUUCAAAUUGUGCACCAAAAGUAUGUGUUAUCUAUUCAAAAGUAAUCAAUUUUCUUUAUGUUAAAUGUUUCAAAUCUUCCUGGAAAAAGGGAAUUCAAAACACCCAUUACUUUCACUUUCUCCACAAACCACAUUAAAAUCACAAUAAAGGGGUUUUUUCUUAAUAUUCAUUUUUGAGAGCCUGAGAGC